CCUACCUGGUUGAUCCUGCCAGUAGUCAUAUGCUUGUCUCAAAGAUUAAGCCAUGCAUGUCUGAGUUCAAACCCCAUGUCCGCACGGUCGUACCGCGAANGGCUCAUUAAAUCAGUCCUGGUUCCUUAGGUGAUACGGCCCUUGUCAUAAGGGUGAUNCGGAUAACUGUGGCAAAUCCAGAGCUAAUACGUGCAAUCGAGCCCCGACUCGCCCUNCAUCGGGUCGAGGAAGGGCGCUUUUAUUAGUGCGAGACCGGCGUUCGUCUCCCUUUACCGGGGGGCGAAUCCGCGUCAGGCGAACUCUGGAUAAUACGCACGACCGCUCGGUCCCUCGGGACGGCGGCGUGCCUUUCAAGCGUCUGCCCUAUCAAAUGUCGACGGUAGGUCAUGCGCCAACCGUGUUGACGACGGGUAACGGGGAAUCGGGGUUCGGUUCCGGAGAGGGAGCACGAGAAACGGCUACCACAUCCAAGGAAGGCAGCAGGCGCGCAACUUACCCACUCCCAGCUCGGGGAGGUAGUGACGAGAAAUAACGGCGCGGGUCUCGAGUCGGGCCCCGCGGUCGGAAUGAGCGUAGUCCAAACCCCUGACGGCGAUGACCCAUCGGAGGGCAAGCCUGGUGCCAGCAGCCGCGGUAAUUCCAGCUCCGAUAGCGUAUAUUAAAGUUGCUGCAGUUAAAAAGCUCGUAGUUGGAUCUCGAGGCGAUCACGAUCGCUCCGUCGUGGUUCCGUCGCGAGGUUCUCUUCCCCUCCGCGGGAAGGGGGCUUGGCCGCUCCACGGCGCCUUUCGUGCGUCGCCCCGACGAGCGUCGGCUCUCUCCCGUAGUCGUUCUUGACUGAACGGCUCGGGCGGCCGACUUUUUACUUUGAAAAAAUUAGAGUGUUCAAGGCAGGCCAUAGCGCCCGGAUAGGCAUGCAUGGAAUAAUGGAAUAUGACCGCCGGCCCGUACUGCUACGCAGCUCACAGGUCGGUCUCAGGGCCGGAGGUAAUGAUUGAGAGGGACGGCCGGGGGCAUUCGUACCGCACCGGGAGAGGUGAAAUUCGUUGAUCGGAGCGAGACGACCCAGGGCGAAGGCGUUUGUCAAGAGCGUUUUCUUUAAUCAAGAACGAAAGUCGGAGGCUCGAAGACGAUCAGAUACCGUCGUAGUUCCGACAGUAAACGGUGCCGACCGGCGAUCCGCGGAAGUCUUUAAACGGACUGCGCGGGCGGCCCCUGGGAAACCCGAGUCUCUGGGUUCCGGGGGGAGUAUGGUCGCAAAGCUGAAACUUAAAGGAAUUGACGGAAGGGCACCACCAGGAGUGGGGUCUGCGGCUUAAUUUGACUCAACACGGGAAACCUCACCCGGUCCGGACACCGCUAGGAUUGACAGACCGAGGCUCUUUCUUGAUUCGGUGGGUGGUGGUGCAUGGCCGUUCUUAGUUGGUGGAGCGAUCUGUCUGGUUUAUUCCGAUAACGAACGAGACUCCGGCCUGCUAGUUAGUGCGACGGCGUCAACUCGGGUUGGUCGGGCGGGGGAAGGCUGGGGCUCCGGCCCUUCCCGACCCUGCCUCAGCCCGUCCGCCGUCGUGAUACCGAAGACUUCUUAGAGGGACGGGCGGUGGCCAGCCGCACGAAAAGGAGCGAUAACAGGUCUGUGAUGCCCUUAGACGUCCGGGGCCGCACGCGUGCUACACUGGGGGAGUCAGCGCGGAUCACCUCCCGGCCCGAAGGUCGGGGAAACCGCUGAGUCUCCCCCAUACUCGGGAUCGGGGCUUGACCAUUGUGCCCCGUCAACGAGGAAUUCCCCGUAGGCGCGGGUCAUAACCCCGCGCGAUUACGUCCCUGCCCUUUGUACACACCGCCCGNCGCUACCAUCGGUGGACGGUCUAGCGAGGACCUCGGACCGGCUAAGCGUUUCUUACUCGUUAAGGCCGCUUUCGCCGGGAAGACGCCCGAACUCGGUCGCUCGGAGAUAGUAAAAGUCGUAACAAGGUUUCCGUAGUGAACCUGCGGAAGGAUCAUUA
RNAcentral lists this ribosomal RNA (2003 nucleotides) under Flabellina sp. VV-2003. RNAcentral describes it as "SSU rRNA". It matches the Rfam family "Eukaryotic small subunit ribosomal RNA". The record is from RNAcentral. Lineage: Eukaryota; Metazoa; Mollusca; Gastropoda; Nudibranchia; Flabellinidae.